Molecule: long non-coding RNA, 889 nt
Organism: Cannabis sativa
Lineage: Eukaryota; Viridiplantae; Streptophyta; Magnoliopsida; Rosales; Cannabaceae
Exons: 2
Source: RefSeq, a predicted model, not a curated record
AAUAAAGUACGGUUUCUUUCUUUAAAAAAAAGCAACAAAAUAAAAAAAAAUAAAAAAGGCAGUAUAUACUGCUUCUCCCUCUCUCCCUCUUUAAUACAAAAAAAACCCUAAUAUCAGCUCAUUCACGCCUCCCUCAUUCUCAUUCAUGCUUCCCUCUCUCUUUCUUUCUGUCAAUCGAGGCAGCGCCUCUUUCUUUCUCUCACUGUUUGUAAACUGGAUGCUUCUAGAUGAAUUCAAUAAUUUUAUGAAGAAACGGCCAGCAAAAGAAACCCAAAUUUCGAUUGCUGUCGGUUGUAACUUGUUAUAUCGGACAAAAUAUAUGGGGUUUUGCUGUUUUAUGAAUGUGGAUUUAUGAUUAGGUAAUACGGUGUUGUAGUUGAUUCCGUUAAUCAUUUUGAUCUUUCUCUUCUUCUCUGGCGACCUCAGCCAACCUCCGACGAACGUGCAACCUAAACCCCAUUUUCUCUGUGCCUCGGCUUCUCCGCCUACCACGACAGCGGUUCAACCUCUGCCUCGACUUCUCUCCACCUCGUCUUCACGCCUCCCCCAGUCAUGGGUGCUGGUGGCUGUGUUCGAAGGGUUGAAGCUCGAGUAGAUCUCGCCCGUCUGUGUUCGAAGGCUUGGUGGCUGACGGGAUGCUGGGUUCGUGAUUUAAGUGGGAUGGGGCUUGGGGUGUUCGACGGGCAUAAGAAAUUUGAAACAUCUGAAUUUUUUUGAUAAGUUUGAACUAUUCUGAUUUGGUGAUUGUUUAUUAUGUGAUUAAAUUGAAUGUUUUAGGUCAAUUUUUCUUAAUGUAUUUUUUGGGUUUUGUAAAUGCUUCUCUGUAAAAAAAUUUAUUAUAAAUUAAGUUUUAGAAAAAGAAAUGAAUGUAUAAAAUUAACAUUCUUUA